UUCAAACUCAGUGCCUCUUUGUUUGACAUCAUGGGAAAAUCAAAAGAAAUCAGCCAAUACCAUGUGCAACUCCACCAACAAAGUGGAGCAGAGACCAGGCUUUGUGGAAUUCAGCUCUGACUACAUCGAUUUGACCAAUGUCGGUGGUUGUAUUUGAUUAGCGUUUAUUGAAGUACGGAUUUCAACAAACAAAGACAGGCACGCAACUACAGAGGACAAACAUAGGUACAAGGUGGCGGAUAGGGUGGUGGAUAUCAUAAUCUAUUCAACUAAUGAUAUCUUCAACUAAUUUCAAAGAGGUUGGGUGCGCCACAGAUGUCCAUCAUGAGGCUUUGCUGGCUUUGAAAUGGAGGGAAGGAGCAUGCAUGAGUUUAAAGUGAUUUUUGAUUCUCCACGUGUCUGCUCUGCCACAUGUUAUGCACCUAUCAAGAAGUCUACAGUAUCUAUGGAUUUGCUACCAUAGUGUUUUAUUCCCUAUCCACUUGUACACUGCAUUACACUGUUGUAAGUUUAGCCCAACCCAGGGCUCUCCAACUCUAGUCCUAGACAGCUACUGUGCAGGCUUUUGCUCAAAGAAUCGUAAGGUAUGCUUUUGCCGUAAAGCAUUUUUUAAAUCUGACACCGUGGUUGGAUUCACAAGAAGUUCAUCUUUAAACCUAUGUAAAAUAGUUGUAUCUUUUCUGAAUU
Non-coding RNA from Oncorhynchus mykiss (rainbow trout), 687 nucleotides. Lineage: Eukaryota; Metazoa; Chordata; Actinopteri; Salmoniformes; Salmonidae. The record is from RefSeq and is a predicted model, not a curated record.